AUUGAACGCUGGCGGCAUGCUUUACACAUGCAAGUCGAACGGCAGCACAGGGAGCUUGCUCCCGGGUGGCGAGUGGCGCACGGGUGAGUAAUACAUCGGAACGUGUCCUGUUGUGGGGGAUAACUGCUCGAAAGGGUGGCUAAUACCGCAUGAGACCUGAGGGUGAAAGCGGGGGAUCGCAAGACCUCGCGCAAUUGGAGCGGCCGAUGCCCGAUUAGCUAGUUGGUGGGGUAAAGGCCCACCAAGGCGACGAUCGGUAGCUGGUCUGAGAGGACGACCAGCCACACUGGGACUGAGACACGGCCCAGACUCCUACGGGAGGCAGCAGUGGGGAAUUUUGGACAAUGGGGGGCAACCCUGAUCCAGCCAUGCCGCGUGCAGGAUGAAGGUCUUCGGAUUGUAAACUGCUUUUGUCAGGGACGAAAAGGGAUGCGAUAACACCGUGUUCUGCUGACGGUACCUGAAGAAUAAGCACCGGCUAACUACGU
RNAcentral lists this ribosomal RNA (488 nucleotides) under uncultured bacterium. RNAcentral's name for it is "bacterial SSU rRNA". It matches the Rfam family "Bacterial small subunit ribosomal RNA", at positions 30 to 506 of the family's 1533-position model. The record is from RNAcentral.